This 440-nucleotide ribosomal RNA is filed under the name uncultured bacterium. RNAcentral describes it as "partial 16S ribosomal RNA". It matches the Rfam family "Bacterial small subunit ribosomal RNA", at positions 338 to 795 of the family's 1533-position model. The record is from RNAcentral.
CCUACGGGAGGCAGCAGUGGGGAAUAUUGCACAAUGGGGGAAACCCUGAUGCAGCAACGCCGCGUGAGUGAAGAAGUCAUUCGUGAUGUAAAGCUCUAUCAGCAGGGAAGAAAAUGACGGUACCUGACUAAGAAGCCCCGGCUAACUACGUGCCAGCAGCCGCGGUAAUACGUAGGGGGCGAGCGUUAUCCGGAUUCACUGGGUGUAAAGGGAGCGUAGACGGCCAUGCAAGCCAGGGGUGAAAGCCCGGGGCCCAACCCCGGGACUGCCCUUGGAACUGCAUGGCUGGAGUGCGGGAGGGGCAGGCGGAAUGCCUGGUGUAGCGGUGAAAUGCGUAGAUAUCAGGAGGAACACCGGCGGCGAAGGCGGCCUGCUGGACUGCGACUGACGUUGAGGCUCGAAAGCGUGGGGAGCGAACAGGAUUAGAUACCCUGGUAGUC